This 515-nucleotide ribosomal RNA is filed under the name uncultured bacterium. RNAcentral describes it as "partial 16S ribosomal RNA". It matches the Rfam family "Bacterial small subunit ribosomal RNA", at positions 28 to 523 of the family's 1533-position model. The record is from RNAcentral.
GAUGAACGCUGGCGGCGUGCCUAAUACAUGCAAGUCGAGCGAAUGGAUUAAGAGCUUGCUCUUAUGAAGUUAGCGGCGGACGGGUGAGUAACACGUGGGUAACCUGCCCAUAAGACUGGGAUAACUCCGGGAAACCGGGGCUAAUACCGGAUAACAUUUUGAACCGCAUGGUUCGAAAUUGAAAGGCGGCUUCGGCUGUCACUUAUGGAUGGACCCGCGUCGCAUUAGCUAGUUGGGGAGGUAACGGCUCACCAAGGCAACGAUGCGUGGCCGAGCUGAGAGGGUGAUCGGCCACACUGGGACUGAGAAACGGCCCAGACUCCUACGGGAGGCAGCAGUAGGGAAUCUUCCGCAAUGGACGAAAGUCUGGCGGAGCAACGCCGCGUGAGUGAUGAAGGCUUUCGGGUCGUAAAACUCUGUUGUUAGGGAAGAACAAGUGCGAGUUGAAUAAGCUGGCACCUUGACGGUACCUAACCAGAAAGCCACGGCUAACUACGUGCCAGCCGCCGCAGUAA